Brachypodium distachyon (stiff brome) is the source of this 1210-nucleotide long non-coding RNA. RefSeq lists it as uncharacterized. The record is from RefSeq and is a predicted model, not a curated record. The transcript is spliced from 2 exons. Lineage: Eukaryota; Viridiplantae; Streptophyta; Magnoliopsida; Poales; Poaceae.
GCAAUGUUCCAUCUGCCAACAAGCUAAGGUUGAACAUGUGAAACUUCCUGGUUUGCUCAAUCCCCUGCCUAUUCCUACACAACCUUGGUCCAUUAUUAGCAUGGACUUUGUGGAAGGCUUACCUGUGUCAGUGCUAGACAUUCUGAGACAGAUGGUCAGACUAAGCGCCUGAAUCAAUGCCUGGAAACUUAUCUGCGUUGUUUUGUUCAUUCCUGCCCUAACAAGUGGAGUCAUUGGCUACCUCUUGCCGAAUUCUGGUAUAACACCUCUUACCACUCUGCAAUUCCUACUACUCCUUAUGAGGUUUUAUAUGGUCACCCCCCACGUUAGCUGGGUGUAAAUGCUGCCUCAGCUACUGCCGUUCCAGAUCUGGAAAUGUGGUUAAAGGAACAUGCAUACAUGAACAUUGUGAUACAGAAUCACUUGCUGCGUGCUCAACACCGUAUGAAAGCUCAAGCUGAUAAAGGCCGUUUUGAACGUGAGUUCGCUGUUGGUGAUCAGGUUUAUCUAAAACUACAGCCUUAUGUUCAAAUGACGGUGGCUUGCCGCAGUAAUCAGAAGUUGUCCUUCAAAUAUUUUGGACCUUUUCGCAUCAUCCAACGCGCGGGCAAGAUGGCUUAUAAGCUACAACUUCCUACCAGUAGUAAAAUACACCCAGUGGUGCAUGUUUCUGUUCUGAAGCUAGCUAUUCCACCGGCCACUGAGGUAUGUCCAGAUCUUCCUGAUGUUUGUUUCGAUCCUGACCAUAUUGCUCUUCCUGAAGCAAUCCUCCAGUGUCGACUGGUUAAGCAAGGUGCAGCCACUAUUGCUCAAGUGCUGGUCAAAUGGCACGAAUUACCAGCUCAACUGGCCACUUGGGAAUCAUUGGAGGACACGCGCCAUAAAUUCCCGUCUGUCCUGGCUUGGGGACACGCCAGUGCUAAAGGAGGGGGAAUUGUCACGAACUGUGACUCACCCGGGCCACCUGGAGCCAGCGAAGCCCAGCCCAGAAGAAGCACCCGCCAAAGAAGGCCCAUCAAUCGAGACUGAGGAAGCCCAACUUAUCGGUGAUGUCAUCGGCCAGCUAUUUAGGCGUCUCCUUCCAAGAUGUCGAAGCGAUCGAGAUUUAGAACUCUCUUGCAUGUUCUUCUGUAACUCUCUCCUCUACCUCCGAAUUCAUCGUUCCUCUGAGUGAAUUCGUGUAUUGGAUCUAUAUACCGUCUAGUGAAUC